This 234-nucleotide ribosomal RNA is filed under the name uncultured bacterium. RNAcentral describes it as "partial 16S ribosomal RNA". It matches the Rfam family "Bacterial small subunit ribosomal RNA", at positions 118 to 351 of the family's 1533-position model. The record is from RNAcentral.
UGAGUAACCUGCCCUUAACUCUGGGAUAAGCCUGGGAAACUGGGUCUAAUACCGGAUAUGACUCCUCAUCGCAUGGUGGGGGGUGGAAAGCUUUAUUGUGGUUUUGGAUGGACUCGCGGCCUAUCAGUUUGUUGGUGAGGUAAUGGCUCACCAAGGCAACGACGGGUAGCUGGUCUGAGAGGAUGGCCAGCCACAUUGGGGCUGAGACACGGCCCAGACUCCUACGGGAGGNAG